UUAUCUCUACAUGACAUUUCUCA
RNAcentral lists this non-coding RNA (23 nucleotides) under Rattus norvegicus (Norway rat). Lineage: Eukaryota; Metazoa; Chordata; Mammalia; Rodentia; Muridae. The record is from RNAcentral.